Molecule: unclassified non-coding RNA, 697 nt
Filed under: Trisetaria panicea
Lineage: Eukaryota; Viridiplantae; Streptophyta; Magnoliopsida; Poales; Poaceae
Description: contains 3' external transcribed spacer, ETS
Source: RNAcentral
GAUCCCCGUCCUCGUGCGGCCGACUACCGACGCCGUGUCCCGUCAUUCGUGUGGCUUACGCCGCUGUUUCCUUUCGAAGUGCUUGCGUGCCGGUACCCGACCUACGGGAAUUGGUGCAUCGUACACGGUUGCCUCGCGGUGGACGCCUUCGGGUGUUCCGCUGCGGCCAAGUGGCUCUUGCGGCGUUGCCUCGUGGUGCUGGCACGUUUACGUGUCCGGUGCUAUCAAGGCAGCCUCGCUCGUGCUGUUGGUUUCGGAUGUUGCUCACGAUAAAGGCUCAUGGCCCUUUCUGUUGGCAAAUCCUGACCCUUCAAAGCUCCUUGAACCCGAACGUGUCGUAGAACGAUGUGUUGCCUCUGCCUCUCCACAGUUAGUGGUAGGAUACGCAGCAUGCUGGGCCGAUACAAGUAGACGUAUGGGAUCUUUGUUGGUUUUGGACGUUGCUCACGAUAAAGGCUAGACCCGACCCUUUGAAGCUCCCUGAACCCGAACGUGUCGUAGAACGAUGUGUUGCCUCUGCCCUCUCCACAGUUAGUGGUAGGAUACGCAGCAUGCUGGGCCGAUGCAAGUAGACGUAGGGGAGCUUGGCCCGCUCAAUUGCGACAACCGGCCCGGCUGCUGUCUGCCUUCACGGGCGGACGGCUGCCGACGCUGGACGUCAAAGAGGACGUGCUACCUGGUUGAUCCUGCCAGUAGU